This is a long non-coding RNA of Hypanus sabinus (Atlantic stingray), 2645 nucleotides long. RefSeq lists it as uncharacterized. NCBI's taxonomy places the organism in Eukaryota, Metazoa, Chordata, Chondrichthyes, Myliobatiformes, Dasyatidae. The record is from RefSeq and is a predicted model, not a curated record. The transcript has 2 exons.
ACCAACUUUUACAGCUGCUUUAUUAAAGUUAUAAAUAAUUUUAUAUUUCAGUUUAUUGAUUUGAAAAGAUAUUGGAUUUUGUGAACUUGGAUUUUUUUUCUACAAGAAAACUUCCUUAUCAAAAUGAUGUGUGUGACCUGAAAUGGAGUCUCUCAGUUGUGAGGGAAGACUGAAUCGGCUGGGUUUGUUUGCCUCAGGGCAGUCGAUGUUUGGAGGAGUGGGAGGGGGUGCUGAUUGAGGUAUACAAAAUUGAGGGUAUAGAUAGGAUAGGGUAGAUAUGAUAAACUGCUCACCUUGACAGAGGUAUUGAUAACUAGAAGGAAAGACAGUAGAAGACAGAGGUGUUGAGGAAGAUUUUUUUUUUAAACCAGAAUGUGGUUGAACCUGAAACAUUGCCUGAGUGAGAGCUGGAGAGAGGUACUGUCAUGAUAUUCAAGUAUUCAGGUAACAUUGGCACGGAUCAAGAGAAAUCAAUGCUUGAUGGCUUGAUUUAUUUUUUUUUAAUUUAAAGAUACAGUGUGAAAUAGGUCCCUUUGGCCCUUCAGCUAUGACGCCCAGCAACUCCCAACACCCCGAUUUAAGCCUAUCCUAAACGUGGGAUGAUUUACAAUAACCAAUUAACCUUCUAACUGGUACAACUUCAGACUGUGUGGAAGAAAACUUGUAUAUUCCACAAGGAGGAUAUACAGAGGUUCCUUACAGAGGAGGCCAGAAUUGAACUCCAAACUCUGACACCCCAAGCUGUUAUAGUGCCACACUAACUGCUACGCUACCAUAACAUAAUGUAUGGCUGUUAUUUCUGGAAUUUUUUGCCUGGUCCUAUUUCCAGCGCACAUUGAUACUGCUUUUAUCACUAUUUGAAAGAUUAGCUCUAUUUGUCAUAUGUACAUUGAAACGUACAGUGAAACAAGGCAGCGAUGUGCUGGGGGAGGCCGAUAUGGCAUGCCCACAACGUACCGUAUAUUCUUUGGAAUGUGAGAAGAAACUGGAGCACCCGGAGGAAACCCAAGUGGUCACAGGGAGAAUAUACCAACUCCUUACAGAAAGUGGAGGAAAUUGAACCCAGGUCUUACAGCUGGUGUGUUGUAAAGCAUUGUUGUAGCUCCUACGCUAUCUGUCAUGCCUUCUGUAGCCAUACCAAUGGAGCCUGUAAUUAAUUUUUGAUCAGGCAAUCUUUGAAGAGAAAACAUCAUUUACAGAUGCUGCUUGUCCUGAGAAUAGCUAACCAUGUUGGUCUUUUUAGACUUCCAGUACCUACAGUUCUUCGCUUUUCGAUCAGCGUUUGCUUUAGUUAUUCUUUAAAACGUGUUGCUCUUUCUUGGAGCAUUUAGGGUGAGAAUGCCAGAAAUAAAAGAUGAUCUGUUUGGAGUAGGAUAGAAUAGCCUGAAUUCUCAUCAGUGAGAUGUUCCAGAGAUUAACUUCAAGUUUGCAUGUGCAAUCAGUGGCCACUUUAUUAGGUACCUCCGAAUUAUUUGAGUAACUGUCACCCUCCUGUCAGCUUGAAUCAGUCUGGCCAUUCUCCUCUGACCUCUCUCAUUAACAAGGCAUUUAUCCCCACAGAACCACCACUCACUAGAUGUUUUUUUUGCACCAUUCUCUGUAAACUAUAGAUACUUGUGUGUGAAAAUCCCAGGAGAUCAGCAGCUCCUGAGAUACUCAAACCACCCCAUCUGGCACCGACAGUCUUUCCAUGGUCAAAGUCAUUUAGAUCACAUUUUCCCCCCAUUCUGAUGUUCGGUCUGAACAGCAACUGAACCAACUUGACCAUGCCGGCAUGCUUUUAUGGAAAUGAAUUGCUGUCACAUGAUUGGCUGAUUAGAUAGUUGCAUUAAUGAACAGGUGUACCUAAUAAAAUAGCCACUGAGAGUACAUUGAUAAAUGUGAGGAAGUAGAAUGGAAGCCUAGAGUGGGCUUCAGUACCCCUAUCAUUUUUAAUUUACAGUUAGCUGAGGUAUCUCAGUGCAAAUGCAGUAUUCUGAAAUUUGUUGAAGUUGAACGUAGUGCCCAUCCUCUCUUGACUAAGCCCCUGCCACACACAAUUUCCAAAUGCUUGUCCCUCCAUAAGCUGUAAAAUGUUAAAAGUAAGUUUAUUAUAAAGGUAAAUAUAUGUCACCGUAUAUUACCCUGAGAUUCAUUUUCUUGCAGGCAUUCACAGUAGGUACAAAUAAACAGUAGAUCGAUGAAAAGCUAGGAAAACAAGCAAUGUGCAAAAGAAGAUCAACUAGAUACAACGUGAAUCAGGCCCUUCUGGUCCCUUGAACCCACCUGUCCAGGAACCCACCUGUUUAUCCCUGGCCUAAUCACAGGACAAUUUACAAUGACCUACUGACUGGUACAUCUUUGGACUGUGGGAGGAAACCAGAGCACCUGGAGGGAACACAGGUGCACACAGAAAGAACAUAUAAACUUCCUUACAGGGGACACUGGAGUUGAACCCCGAAAUCCACCAGCCCGAAUUGUAAUACGCUUGACCUAACCAGUAUGCUAUGGUAGCCUCUGUCUCACUUUUACCAGCAUGCUGAUUGUUGACAACAAAACCUUCCUAGUUCUUUGUCCCUUUUGCACAGGAAAUUAUCAGCAGCUGCGAAAUCAGUUCCAUGGCUCAACCUGAAAAAUAGAAAAUGCAACAUCAAGUACUCAACAUG